GAUGAACGCUAGCUACAGGCUUAACACAUGCAAGUUCGAGGGGCAGCAUGAUUGAAAGCUCGCUUUCAUCGAUGGCGACCGGCGCACGGGUGAGUAACACGUAUCCAACCUGCCGAUAACUCGGGGAUAGCCUUUCGAAAGAAAGAUUAAUACCCGAUAGCAUAGUUUUUCCGCAUGGUUUCACUAUUAAAGAAUUUCGGUUAUCGAUGGGGAUGCGUUCCAUUAGAUAGUUGGCGGGGUAACGGCCCACCAAGGCAACGAUGGAUAGGGGUUCUGAGAGGAAGGUCCCCCACAUUGGAACUGAGACACGGUCCAAACUCCUACGGGAGGCAGCAGUGAGGAAUAUUGGUCAAUGGACGAGAGUCUGAACCAGCCAAGUAGCGUGAAGGAUGACUGCCCUAUGGGUUGUAAACUUCUUUUAUACGGGAAUAAAGUGGAGUAUGCAUACUCCUUUGUAUGUACCGUAUGAAUAAGGAUCGGCUAACUCCGUGCCAGCAGCCGCGGUAAUACGGAGGAUCCGAGCGUUAUCCGGAUUUAUUGGGUUUAAAGGGAGCGUAGGCGGGUGCUUAAGUCAGUUGUGAAAGUUUGCGGCUCAACCGUAAAAUUGCAGUUGAUACUGGGCGCCUUGAGUGCAGCAUAGGUAGGCGGAAUUCGUGGUGUAGCGGUGAAAUGCUUAGAUAUCACGAAGAACUCCGAUUGCGAAGGCAGCUUACUGGACUGUAACUGACGCUGAUGCUCGAAAGUGUGGGUAUCAAACAGGAUUAGAUACCCUGGUAGUCCACACAGUAAACGAUGAAUACUCGCUGUUGGCGAUACACAGUCAGCGGCCAAGCGAAAGCAUUAAGUAUUCCACCUGGGGAGUACGCCGGCAACGGUGAAACUCAAAGGAAUUGACGGGGGCCCGCACAAGCGGAGGAACAUGUGGUUUAAUUCGAUGAUACGCGAGGAACCUUACCCGGGCUUAAAUUGCAGCGGAAUGUAGUGGAAACAUUACAGCCUUCGGGCCGCUGUGAAGGUGCUGCAUGGUUGUCGUCAGCUCGUGCCGUGAGGUGUCGGCUUAAGUGCCAUAACGAGCGCAACCCUUAUCUAUAGUUACUAUCAGGUCAUGCUGAGGACUCUAUGGAGACUGCCGUCGUAAGAUGUGAGGAAGGUGGGGAUGACGUCAAAUCAGCACGGCCCUUACGUCCGGGGCUACACACGUGUUACAAUGGGGGGUACAGAAGGCAGCUACCUGGCGACUGGAUGCUAAUCCCUAAAACCUCUCUCAGUUCGGAUUGGAGUCUGCGAACCCGACUCCAUGAAAGCUGGAUUCGCUAGUAAUCGCGCAUUCAGGCCCACGGCGCGGUAAAGUACGUUUCCCGG
Molecule: ribosomal RNA, 1362 nt
Filed under: uncultured bacterium
Lineage: Bacteria
Description: bacterial SSU rRNA
Rfam family: Bacterial small subunit ribosomal RNA
Source: RNAcentral